UUUGACUCAACACAAGAAAUCUCACCUGGCCCGGACACGGAAGCGAUUGACAGAUUGAUAUCUCUUUCUCGAUUCUGUGGGUGGUGGUGCAUGGCCGUUCUUAGUUGGUGGAGAGUCUGGUUAAUUCCGAUUAAUUCCGUUUUUCAUAGAAAAACACCCAUCACAUGUUAAGUUACUGGAAACACUCCACUUGUAGUUUCAUAGUGUCAUCCAGAAAUUGGCAGCAGAGAACUUGUUUGCUUGUUAUAAAAUGACUCAC
Larimichthys crocea (large yellow croaker) is the source of this 259-nucleotide non-coding RNA. NCBI's taxonomy places the organism in Eukaryota, Metazoa, Chordata, Actinopteri, Sciaenidae. The record is from Rfam.